Molecule: long non-coding RNA, 2605 nt
Organism: Dermochelys coriacea (leatherback sea turtle)
Lineage: Eukaryota; Metazoa; Chordata; Testudines; Dermochelyidae
Exons: 6
Source: RefSeq, a predicted model, not a curated record
GUUCAGUGGCACGGUUCUGACUUGCUUGGGUUGUGCUCGCAGAGGUCAGGGCAGUAUUGCAUAACGUGGGCCCUUGGAACGGCUAAUUUGAAGGUGUAGACAGUUGCUAGGGAGAUGGGAAAUCUACCUGGAUCGUGGUAGUUCUGUGUGCAGCUUCCAUGGAGUCUUGUCGUCUUUCUUACUUACGUAUUUAUGUUCGUGCAUGCUCUUAGUUUCACAGUGACACUCAGGCCUUGUCUUCACUGGGGGUUUUUUUUCCCUAGAAUUUCCCAUCAGUGGACACUGGACAUAGUAAAGGUGGGCGCACUAGUAUAGCAGCUCGCAAUCCAGGAGGCCCCCUGGACUGCGACUCCAGGAGAGACCAGCAUGGACUCUCAGCUGAAAAGUGCUGAGUGAAAGUGAGUAUAAGUAUUCCUGUUUGAGUCAGUCUUUGUAAUCUGCAGCCAGACACCCUCUUGAGUUAGGGUUUGACUGAAGUCAUGCACACAACCAGAAAGUCCAGAAAUGUGCAUGACUGAAACUGGCCAGAAAUAAAAUGACCUUAAAGAUAAUGAAGAGAAGCAGCAUUGAAUCUUCUGCCGAGCAACUUCUGUCACCUGGGGAAGGUCCAAAGGAAAGUAAUGGUGGGCAUAUAGCAACACAGUAAAAAUUCUGGGCUCUCUUCAUUUUUCCCAGACAGAAGUGAAUUAUGGACAGAUUAGAGGAAGGAAGAGGCAUGGACGGGGCCUGCACCCCAGCAAUUCUGCACUUUGCAAAGUCACAGAGGGACCAUUGUAGGAGUAGCUCAAAUGAGAGAUGAACCAGCCCCCCCAGCUAUAGAAUAAGCACGGUGCAAACCAUCUCAUUCUGUCCCUUCCAGCACAGGGAUGAAUAUGUCUCUUUUGAAUUUAUCCACCCAUCACUCUCUGCUACCAAAACUAAUCCCUGUAUGAGCUACAGAAAUAAAUGCAGUUUUGCAAAUCGGUCUACCACCAUAGAAGAGCUUGAAAAAGAACCACACUUUGUGCAUCAAUUGAUGAGAUCUGCCAGCAUGACUUGUAGACACACUGGAGAAAUCCCUUCUGUCACUUCAAUGUCUCUGCAUUGCUUCCAACAGUGGCUGCACUGGGCCCCUUGCCAGCUAGCAUAGAAGCUUCUCUGACCUCACUGUUUUAUCAAAUUGGAAAGGACCUCUGUGUAUGGUUUUCCCAUCUGCGAAAUGGUGUUGGUCUUGCCUUACCAUGGAAGAGACCCCCUCAUGAACCAAAAGGGGAAGCUGAGUAUACAGUGACACUUCCUAGCCAUAAAGAGCCACGAUGUUUCUGUGGCUGUCUUUGCCAGUCGUGUGCCAUCCCCUAUAGUGAACACACAAUCUUGUGCUCAGCAUCCAAUUCAAUAGUAAACCAGCAGGCUUGCUCCGUCCCACAGAGUCAUAAAGCGAGCAACACGAUGACCUAGGUACAGUACUUCCCCAGGCCCCCAUUGCCAGAGCAAUCUGAGACCCUCACAAAGAUGAAUCCUGGGGAGGUAGGGAAGUACUAUGGACUCUGAUGACUGGUUACCAGCUGGAAUAUGUUCUGGGCCAGGUUCUUGAUCACUAUGGACUAAAGAAUACACGGAUGGUGCAAGAAAAUGGAUCUGGAUGAAAGACUCUUUAGGAUGUAAAGCUGUUAGUGGUGAGUGGCAUCAUUCGAGCCUAGGACAAGGAGAACACCUGUGUCUGGAUGGAAGCCAGCAGUCAUUUAGCAGGCCUAUUUUGGGAAAGCUUCCCCUUCUGCCUUAAGUGACAUGGUUAAUGCUGCCUCCUUAGGAGGUUACUCAGUCAUCUUAAUACGUCUUGUAUGUUGUCUUUUGUUUUUUUGUUUUUUUUUUUUUUUCUCCUUCCAGAUUUUGAUUAGUUUUUCCUUUGACAUGGGAGAAGAUGUCUGAUUGUAGAGGACUCUUAAAUUUGGCGGAUAGGAGCAUAACAAAGUCCAAUGGCUAGAAGUUGAAGCUGGACAAAUUCAAACUGGAAAUGACACACUUUUAAGUGAGGGUAAUUAGCUAUUGGAACAACUUACUAAGGGAUGUGAUGGAGACCCCAUCACUCGAAGUCUUUAAAUCAAGAUUUAAGGGACAGAUUCUCAGCUGGUGUAAAUUAUCAUAGCUCUGAUAUCAAUGGAGAUAAGAGUGCUUGCACCAGCUAAGAAUCUGGACCUUGACGUCUUUCUAAAAUACGUGCUCUUGGCUGACCGCAAGUUAUUUGGCUCAGUGCCAGAAUAUCUAGGUGAAAUUCUCCAGCCAUGUUAUACAGGAAAUUAGAUGAUCACAAUGGUCCCUUCUGACCUUAGAAUCUGUGGAUUAUUGCUAGGAUAAACACUAAAAGGUGAUACUGUGCCUUGAUAGAUUAGUAUUAUCAGACAUCUUCAGAGAGGAGCUAGCAGCAGUCAUUGCCUUCAUCUUAAAUUGUCAGCACCCAUCUGAAUUUUCUCUUACUCCUGUAAUGCUGGAAUCUGGUUUUUCAAGGGCUGUGUUUAUUCCUAUGGAAUGUGUAUUUUGCAGACUCGUUCCAUUCUUGGAGCAUUCUCUGGUAUGUAAAGCUGUACCAAUUAUUUUGUAAUAUGAAUACUAAAUAAAUUGCAUUACU